Neopelma chrysocephalum (saffron-crested tyrant-manakin) is the source of this 4532-nucleotide RNA transcript. It is a transcript of the gene named interphotoreceptor matrix proteoglycan 1, with no coding region annotated. NCBI's taxonomy places the organism in Eukaryota, Metazoa, Chordata, Aves, Passeriformes, Pipridae. The transcript is spliced from 19 exons. The record is from RefSeq and is a predicted model, not a curated record.
AGGCUGGAGACACCUGAAAAAUAAAAAGACAAAAGACGUUUGGGGAUUUGAGUUCAUUAAGAAAACAGAAUUCUUCUACUUGACUGAAAUAUUCUUAUUUCCUGCAUGAUUGCUCUUGAAAACUGUGAAUGAUCAAUAGACAGCAUGCAUUUGAAAACUGGAUUAAUAUUUUUGAUCAUUUGCCUUGCUCUCCAAGUUCAGGGAAGCAGAGAAAUUCCUAAUAAAAUAAACCAUGCUGAAGCCAAACAUCUUGCAGACGCCUCAGGGUCAGACAAAACAGAAAGAACAACAAAGAGAUCCAGAGUAUCAACCAUAAGGCGGAUAUUCGACAUGGCAAAGCACCGAACAAAGAGGUCAUCCUUUUUCUCAACUGGUGUGAAAGUUUGCCCACAAGAAUCUGUGAAGCAGAUUUUAGCCAGUCACCAAGCUUACUAUAGAUUAAGAGUCUGCCAGGAAGCUGUGUGGGAAGCCUUUCGUAUUUUUCUGGAUCGGAUUCCUGAUGCUUCUGAAUAUCAGAACUGGGUUACUGCCUGCCAGAGGGAAACCUUUUGCAUAUUCGACAUUGGCAAAAACUUCAGCAAUUCCCAAGAGCAUCUGGAAAUAAUCCAACGGCGAGUAAAACAUAGAACCUUCCAGGAAAGGAAAGAUGAAAUAUCCGCAGAGAAAAUAGGAGGCAAAAAGGUGGAAGAAAUUCCUUCCAUUUCUACAGGCUCCCCUGGCACACCCCUCUCUCCAUAUGCACCUAAUGGCACGCUGCUCAAUGAAAUCGUUAACGACACGAAGACUCCUGUGAAGGAGCUGGGAACAAAUGCAGUCCCUGAACUCCCGGUGGAGCAAAUGGUAGAAUUCAGUGUAACUCUCACUGAUCAGGAGUACACAGCUGAACUUAGUGAUCCCAACUCCCCAGAGUACCAACAACUAGCUGCCAAAUUUCAGCUACAGAUGAAAAAAAUAUUUGAGAAACUUCCAGGAUUCAAAGAAAUCCGCGUAUUAGGAUUUAAACAGAAGAAGGAGAAAGAUGGAUCAAGCAGCACUAUAGCACGGUAUGUGGUGAACUUUGAGAGAGAUGGCUCAGAAAUCAGAAGCACAGCAGAUGACAUCUCAACUAUUGGAUCUAAUAAGGUUGAAAGUGAAAAAAUUCCAAUUUCUCCAAUGGAAGAGAGGGAGAUAUCAGGAACUAAACUCACAGUAACAGACCUUCAGCAACUGGUUGCCAUUGCACUCCAUGAAGACCAGUCCCUGCCAAUGGACCUCGGGACACUUCAGUUUACUGAUGAAUCUAUUAUAGCACCUAGUGAUUUUGAUAAUGAUAUCCAAGGCAUGGUCACUAUUCCUCUGGCAGGCCCUGAUUUGGAGGAAUCUAUGAGUGUGGAACUCCCACUAGGUUACCCCAGCCCAGCAACAGUGGACCAAAUAGGAGACACCUUGGUUGAUGAAUUUACAACUGGAAGCCCUGCUGUAAGUGAAGAAGAGAUCAGCAUCCCUGAAGAAUUUAAUAAUUUUAUUACGUCUGAACCUGAGUUCCCUACCAAACCCUCCAGAGAACCAUUUCAGGACAGAUCUCCACACAAAGUUACUGACCACCAAAGUUUCACAGUGCCUUUCAGUGCUCUGGGGAGCACUAGCAGUCCUCCAAAAUCAGAGGUUUAUCUGCCUCCUCCAGCAGAUGAUUCUGCUAGCAGUGACUUAAUCACCGAUGGUUAUGAGUCUCCAGUGGAGCAGGCUACCACAAUGGCAAUUUAUACCACAGGUAGCUUUACCCCACCUAGUCUGCAAGCCAGAGAUGAGGAUAGUGAACAUGAGGAGAAGACAGAACUGACUGAUAUAACAGAACCACCUUUCAAGGAAGCUGACCAAGACAUUCCACCUGAACAAGCAGUUAAGAUCAUGGAAGAACCAGAAUCAUCAGGCGAUGAUGUUUUUGUUACAGUCAGCACUUAUGAAACGUUGCCUUUCUUUAUUGGUUCAAGUGAUCUCUCUACCAUGCAGCCUGAAGGUGUUAUUACAGAUGUGCUUUCAUCAGACCAAAUAGCACCACUGCCUGCAGCAACCAGCCCAUCCUACAGCCUCUCUGAGAUCAUCGAACAGUCCCUCGAAUUACCAGAUUCCUCAGCGCCUACCCCUGAGAGCGCUCCUCCCGAUGGCACAGGAAUGGGAGUGCAGGAUAUCGCUGCUGAGUUGGAUCACAUCGGUGGGCUGAGCACAGCAGCUCUGGAUGAAGGGGAGCACGGCAGCGGUUAUAUCCCAGUGCUGACAACUAAGCCUGCAGAAACCACCCCAGCUCCUACGCUGAAGUAUGUAACUACCAGCUCCAUGACAACUGCAGGCAAAGGCAAAGAGCUAGUGGUUUUCUUCAGCCUGAGGGUAACCAACAUGCACUUUUCUGAUGACCUCUUCAAUAGGAGUUCGACAGAAUACAAAGCACUAGAACAACAGUUCAUGCAAUUGCUACUUCCAUACCUUCAGUCCAACCUUACAGGUUUUAAGCACUUGGAAAUACUUAACUUCAGGAAUGGAAGUGUGAUUGUGAACAGCAAAAUGAAAUUUGCCAGGACAGUGCCAUACAAUAUCACAGAAGCAGUACACUGUGUUUUGGAAGACUUCUGUGAUGCUGCAGCCCAACACCUCAAUUUGGAGAUUGACAGCUAUUCCUUGGAUAUUGAGCCAGCUGAUCAGGCAGACCCAUGCAAAUUCAUGGCAUGUGACAAGUUUUCUGAAUGCAUAAUGAACGAGUGGACAAAGGAAGCUGACUGCCUUUGUAAACCUGGUUAUGCCAGCCAAGAUGGAUUGCCCUGCCGGAGCCUGUGCGAGCUGGAACCGCAUCUUUGUGUCAAUGGUGGGAAAUGUGAGCUAGUUCCAGGAAGAGGAGCUGUCUGCAGAUGCCCUGUACGUAGACACCAGCUUUACCAAGGACAGCGCUGUGCCAAAUUUGCUCCAGAACCCACACAACCCUUCAUUUUUACACCUCUCAUUCUUGGCUUACUAAGCCUUGCUUUUCUUUUCAUCAUUUUAAUUAUUAAGUUAAGAAGAAAAUGCAAAAGAAACUCUAAUUUGCAAAGGCCUACUCUCAGCAGCUGCAAUUCAGAAAAUGCUGUAAGGAUUAAUCCUGCUUUUGAACACGAUGAACCCAUAUCUAGCUUUUGUCACAUGGCUUGCAGUGUAAGUGCUUGUCUCGGUUCCUCAGAGAUCACUGACCACGAAGCAUUACACGAACUUGAAAACACAAUUCAGCCUGGAGGUCACCAGGCCAGUUUACAAAGCCAAGAUUGACAAGUUAGUCCUUGAAAUUCUUCGUUUCCAGCAUCAGCCAGACAAAACCAAGGUAUUCAAAAAAGAUCUGCAUUAUUUAAGGUGGGACUUCAGGAUGGUUAUGCACAUGAAAAAAAUUCAAGGAUUCCUAAAGAUAUAAUGUUUUGGCUCUAAAAUCAGGACACAUUAAAAAAAUUGUUUUACUGAAGAAAAGCAACAUGACCAAGUUGAUAUAGAUAUUAUACAGCGUCUAAAAUUUACCUGGUAGGAAGUCAUAAUUGUUAAGAUGCAUGCAUUAAGCAUCCAGUGCUUACAGGUCUUAACUGUUUUAUUUAAGAACUGAGUGCUAGAAACAGAUUUUGCUGAGACGUGACAUUUUUCAAUAUUUGUCAAUGGAACUUCACCAUAUUUCCAUAUCCUUUUAUUAACCUUCCUUACACACACUAAUGUAAGUGGUGAACAGAAAUACGAACUGUCAUUGACCAAAGGACACAUUAAAACCAUCCGGGAACUUCUUCAUUCUCUCCCUACAAUGCUCACAUUGCAAAUCACACGCAAGUUGGAAUUAAUUUUUUUAAGGGCUUCUAUGAACAUUGUUUAUACAUAUGUACAUAUACACUUAACUGCUUAAUUUCUGGUGACAGUGAAACUAUCAGGUUAUCCUAAGACUUCAAACUUUUUGCUGAGGCACAAUACCUGGAGUUUCAUCUUUUCAGAACAAGAUAUUUACAUUCACAAGCAACCUCCUGGUAAAAAGUAGAUUAGAAUUCCACAUGAUUGUGUACACUUUAAACUCAGUUUGCACACAAAUAAUUUUGAGAGGUUACUGUUAGUUUUUGUAGAACAAAUCUAAGCAGACAUCAGGCAGCCUUUAAGUAUUUUGUAGGCUUAUUAAUUUAUGCACUAUGAAUCCACAAUCCUGAUUCAAGUAUGAGCAUUAUUUUACCUUGAGCAUCUUUUUCUUGAGUAUAUCUAUAUUUAUAUCGUGCACCAGUGUUGUACAAUAUUCGGGCACUGUUUGCUGCUUGGUGCACACCAGAAGUCGUACUUACAGCUCAAACUGAGCUUUGACAAAGUUCAUGACUAUUCUGGAUGACAGGUCCUCGUUCAGAGGUGAAACUUUUGUGUAUUUGGGACAGCAGCUGAUUUCAGCAACAAUUCUUCUCUCUUCGUACCGUGCAGUUACCACAGCAAAGACUGAACUUUAUUUUACCUUAUUACGUACACUCAGAAGAACUGUUUACGAAUUCCAAACAACUAACUGCACGUAUUUGCCUGCAAAA